AUUGAACGUUGGCGGCAGGCCUAACACAUGCAAGUCGAGCGGAUGAAGGGAGCUUGCUCCUGGAUUCAGCGGCGGACGGGUGAGUAAUGCCUAGGAAUCUGCCUGGUAGAGGGGGAUAACGUCCGGAAACGGGCGCUAAUACCGCAUACGUCCUGAGGGAGAAAGUGGGGGAUCUUCGGACCUCACGCUAUCAGAUGAGCCUAGGUCGGAUUAGCUAGUUGGUGGGGUAAAGGCCUACCAAGGCGACGAUCCGUAACUGGUCUGAGAGGAUGAUCAGUCACACUGGAACUGAGACACGGUCCAGACUCCUACGGGAGGCAGCAGUGGGGAAUAUUGGACAAUGGGCGAAAGCCUGAUCCAGCCAUGCCGCGUGUGUGAAGAAGGUCUUCGGAUUGUAAAGCACUUUAAGUUGGGAGGAAGGGCAGUAAGUUAAUACCUUGCUGUUUUGACGUUACCAACAGAAUAAGCACCGGCUAACUUCGUG
RNAcentral lists this ribosomal RNA (484 nucleotides) under uncultured bacterium. Its description in RNAcentral is "partial 16S ribosomal RNA". It matches the Rfam family "Bacterial small subunit ribosomal RNA", at positions 30 to 507 of the family's 1533-position model. The record is from RNAcentral.